GAAAUGCGAUAAGUAGUGUGAAUUGCAGAAUUCAGUGAAUCAUCGAAUCUUUGAACGCACAUUGCGCCCUUUGGUAUUCCAAAGGGCAUGCCUGUUCGAGCGUCAUUUGUACCCUCAAGCUUUGCUUGGUGUUGGGCGUCUUGUCUCUAGCUUUGCUGGAGACUCGCCUUAAAGUAAUUGGCAGCCGGCCUACUGGUUUCGGAGCGCAGCACAAGUCGCACUCUCUAUCAGCAAAGGUCUAGCAUCCAUUAAGCAUUUUUUCAACUUUUGACCUCGGAUCAGGUAGGGAUACCCGCUGAACUUAAGC
RNAcentral lists this unclassified non-coding RNA (307 nucleotides) under plant metagenome. RNAcentral describes it as "partial contains 5.8S ribosomal RNA, internal transcribed spacer 2, and large subunit ribosomal RNA". The stretch from base 1 to 105 matches the Rfam family "5.8S ribosomal RNA", at positions 50 to 154 of the family's 154-position model. The record is from RNAcentral.